AUGGCGGCCUCCACCACAAUGGCGCUCUCCUCCCCCGCGAUCAAGCUCGCCGGAGCCUCGUACGCGCUCGGCGGCGGCCGCGUCACCAUGCGCAAGGCCGCGCCCAAGGCCGCCGCCUCCAACAGCCCCUGGUACGGCCCCGACCGCGUGCUCUACCUCGGCCCGCUCUCUGGCGAGCCCCCGAGCUACCUCAGCGGCGAGUUCCCGGGCGACUACGGGUGGGACACCGCGGGCCUCUCCGCCGACCCGGAGACCUUCGCCAAGAACCGCGAGCUCGAGGUGAUCCACUGCCGCUGGGCCAUGCUCGGCGCGCUCGGCUGCGUCUUCCCCGAGCUGCUCGCCCGCAACGGCGUCAAGUUCGGCGAGGCCGUCUGGUUCAAGGCCGGCUCCCAGAUCUUCAGCGAGGGCGGCCUCGACUACCUCGGUAACCCUAGCUUGGUCCACGCUCAGAGCAUCCUUGCCAUCUGGGCUUGCCAGGUCGUGCUCAUGGGCGCUGUCGAGGGGUACCGCGUUGCUGGUGGCCCGCUCGGAGAGAUCGUCGACCCACUCUACCCCGGUGGCAGCUUCGACCCCCUUGGCCUAGCUGACGAUCCAGAGGCGUUUGCCGAGCUCAAGGUGAAGGAGAUCAAGAACGGCCGCCUUGCAAUGUUCUCCAUGUUUGGAUACUUUGUGCAGGCCAUCGUCACCGGUAAGGGUCCGCUUGAGAACCUCGCUGACCACCUCGCCGACCCCGUCAACAACAACGCGUGGGCCUUCGCCACCAACUUUGUGCCCGGCAAGUAA
Molecule: ribosomal RNA, 783 nt
Filed under: Triticum aestivum (bread wheat)
Lineage: Eukaryota; Viridiplantae; Streptophyta; Magnoliopsida; Poales; Poaceae
Description: partial small subunit ribosomal RNA
Source: RNAcentral